This is a long non-coding RNA of Bos taurus (domestic cattle), 829 nucleotides long. The record is from Ensembl. NCBI's taxonomy places the organism in Eukaryota, Metazoa, Chordata, Mammalia, Artiodactyla, Bovidae.
GUGAGAUAAAUUUGCCAAGGAUCAGCUUCUGUCUCUGGCUACAUUCCCCCCUCCUCAGUGAAACAGCAUUUAAAAGGAAACAUCCCUGAAUCAUUUUUUACUAAUGAUUGAACAACAGCAUGGUCACUUCCUCCUGCUGGCUGUAGUCUUCCUUCUUCCCAGAACAGGUUAGGAAUAAAAGACACAAUGAUAUGGAAACAUUUCCCAGAAACUACAUUUCCAACUUUGUUAUUAAUCUCUCAAAUCUAAAUAGAGGUGCUAAAGUGGAACGCACAGAAAAAUAAGGUCCUGACCUGCCCUAGGACCCUCCCCGACAUGUGUGUGUGACUUUUUCCCAAGAUGGAUUCCUGCCUUAGCAUCACAUAUUAUGGGACAGUGCCUUUUCCUUUUUGACCCCCAAGGAGGCUUUCUGGGCAUGUGAAAUGUCUCCUUUGCCUCAAGGAUGGGACAUAUAUAACCUCCUGAUCCUUUACUCAAACAAGGUUUAGCCCAUCUCUGUUCCUGCCAUGACUGUUAUCUUACAAUGUCCACAAGAGACAAGGCCUGGCUUUAGUUAUGCUUCCAUUUUGGAGAGCAAACAGGAAGAUGGUUAUAAGUGUCUAACCUGGAGCCCCCUUAGCCCCUGUCUCAGGAAAUGCAAAAGGAAGCCAGUUGUGAAUGCCUAGCCUGGGGCCCGUCUGUCUCCCACCUCAAUCCCUCAGAGUUUAUUGUUGUAAUUAAAAACAAUACAGUUUUAUCUAUGUUCCAUUUAUUGUUUUGUUUAUGUAUUACCAUGCGUUCCUGUUCAAAGGAAAACUAAAGUAAGCUGACGUGCCAGAAGUGUGUCUGC